Molecule: ribosomal RNA, 693 nt
Filed under: Mucor hiemalis
Lineage: Eukaryota; Fungi; Mucoromycota; Mucoromycetes; Mucorales; Mucoraceae
Description: partial large subunit ribosomal RNA
Rfam family: Eukaryotic large subunit ribosomal RNA
Source: RNAcentral
UUAGCGGAGGAAAAGAAAAUAACAAUGAUUUCCCUAGUAACGGCGAGUGAAGAGGAAAGAGCUCAAAGUUGGAACCUGUUUGGCUUAGCUAAACCGGAUUGUAAACUGUAGAAGUGUUUUCCAGACACGCCUGGUAAAAAAGUCCUUUGGAACAGGGCAUCAUAGAGGGUGAGAAUCCCGUCAUUGGCCAGAGCUGUUGUCUUUUGUGAUACAUUUUCAAAGAGUCAGGUUGUUUGGGAAUGCAGCCUAAAUUGGGUGGUAAAUCUCACCUAAAGCUAAAUAUUUGCGAGAGACCGAUAGCGAACAAGUACCGUGAGGGAAAGAUGAAAAGAACUUUGAAAAGAGAGUUAAACAGUAUGUGAAAUUGUUAAAAGGGAACCGUUUGGAGCCAGACUGGCUUGAUCGUAAUCACUCUAGGCUUUGGCCUGGAUGCACUUGCGGUCUAUGCCGGCCAACGACAGUUUUGUUUGAGGGAAAAAAUUACAUUGAAUGUGGCCCUUCGGGGUGUUAUAGCUUUGUAAAAAAUACCUUGGACGGGACUGAGGAACGCAGCGAAUGCCUUUAGGCGAGAUUGCUGGGUGCUUGCGCUGAUACAUGCUAGAAUUUCUGCUUUGGGUGGUGCUAGUGUGUAAAGGAGUAACCCGCUUAGUAUAUUUUUUAUUCGCUUAGGUUGUUGGCUUAAUGACUCUAAAU